UGGUGGAGUGAUUUGUCUGGUUAAUUCCGUUAACGAACGAGACCUCGACCUGCUAAAUAGUCUACUAUACCCUUUGGGUAUAGCUAAACUUCUUAGAGGGACUAUCGGUUGUUAGCCGAUGGAAGUUCGAGGCAAUAACA
Molecule: ribosomal RNA, 140 nt
Filed under: uncultured eukaryote
Lineage: Eukaryota
Description: partial 18S ribosomal RNA
Rfam family: Eukaryotic small subunit ribosomal RNA
Source: RNAcentral